RNAcentral lists this ribosomal RNA (1674 nucleotides) under Listeria monocytogenes. RNAcentral describes it as "partial 23S ribosomal RNA". It matches the Rfam family "Bacterial large subunit ribosomal RNA", at positions 1 to 1667 of the family's 2925-position model. Lineage: Bacteria; Bacillati; Bacillota; Bacilli; Caryophanales; Listeriaceae. The record is from RNAcentral.
GUUGAUAAGGUUAAGUGAAUAAGGGCGCACGGUGGAUGCCUUGGCACUAGGAGCCGAUGAAGGACGGGACUAACACCGAUAUGCUUUGGGGAGCUGUACGUAAGCUAUGAUCCAGAGAUUUCCGAAUGGGGAAACCCAACAUCUUUUAUAGGAUGUUACGUUUGCGUGAAUACAUAGCGCAUUCGAGGUAGACGCAGAGAACUGAAACAUCUAAGUACCUGCAGGAAGAGAAAGAAAAUUCGAUUCCCUGAGUAGCGGCGAGCGAAACGGGAAAAGCCCAAACCAAUGAGCUUGCUCAUUGGGGUUGUAGGACUCCAAUAUGGUAGUUCUUUCAGAUAAUCGAAUGACUUGGAAAAGUCAGUCAAAGAGGGUAAAAACCCCGUAGAUGAAAUUUGGAAGGCACCUAGGAGGAUCCUGAGUACGGCGGAACACGAGGAAUUCCGUCGGAAUCCGGGAGGACCAUCUCCCAAGGCUAAAUACUCCCUAGUGACCGAUAGUGAACCAGUACCGUGAGGGAAAGGUGAAAAGCACCCCGGAAGGGGAGUGAAAUAGAACCUGAAACCGUGUGCCUACAACAAGUCAAAGCCCGUUAAUGGGUGAUGGCGUGCCUUUUGUAGAAUGAACCGGCGAGUUACGAUUGCAUGCGAGGUUAAGUCGAAGAGACGGAGCCGCAGCGAAAGCGAGUCUGAAUAGGGCGUUUGAGUAUGUAGUCGUAGACCCGAAACCAUGUGAUCUACCCAUGUCCAGGUUGAAGGUGCGGUAAAACGCACUGGAGGACCGAACCCACGUACGUUGAAAAGUGCGGGGAUGAGGUGUGGGUAGCGGAGAAAUUCCAAACGAACUUGGAGAUAGCUGGUUCUCUCCGAAAUAGCUUUAGGGCUAGCCUCGGAUUUGAGAAUGAUGGAGGUAGAGCACUGUUUGGACUAGGGGCCCAUCUCGGGUUACCGAAUUCAGAUAAACUCCGAAUGCCAUUCAUUCAUAUCCGGGAGUCAGACUGUGAGUGAUAAGAUCCAUAGUCGAAAGGGAAACAGCCCAGACCACCAGCUAAGGUCCCAAAAUAUAUGUUAAGUGGAAAAGGAUGUGGGGUUGCACAGACAACUAGGAUGUUGGCUCAGAAGCAGCCACCAUUUAAAGAGUGCGUAAUAGCUCACUAGUCGAGUGACCCUGCGCCGAAAAUGUACCGGGGCUAAACAUAUUACCGAAGCUGUGGAGUACACCAUGAGGUGUAUUGGUAGGAGAGCGUUCUAAGGGCGUUGAAGGCAGAUCGUGAGGACUGCUGGAGCGCUUAGAAGUGAGAAUGCCGGUAUGAGUAGCGAAAGACAGGUGAGAAUCCUGUCCACCGAAUGACUAAGGUUUCCUGGGGAAGGCUCGUCCGCCCAGGGUUAGUCGGGACCUAAGCCGAGGCCGACAGGCGUAGGCGAUGGACAACAGGUUGAUAUUCCUGUACUCGUUGUUUUUGUUUGAGCAAUGGAGGGACGCAGGAGGCUAAGGAAUGCAGACGAUUGGAAAUGUCUGUCCAAGCAGUAAGUCUUGAUAGGAGUCAAAUGCUUCUGUCUACACGGAUAAGCUGUGAUGGGGAGGGAAAUAAUAGUACCGAAGUUCCUGAUGUCACACUGCCAAGAAAAGCUUCUAGUGAGAAAACAAUGACCCGUACCGCAAACCGACACAGGUAGU